GGGGGUAGGGGGGCGAUCACAAUGCCUGUGAGGUGCGGGGUGGGGCAGAGCUAACAACAAAGAGCAGGGAUGCGCACAGAAGAUCCACCAGCUGGCUGUGGGGCACCUUCGAACCAACACCACUGAUGGAGAGGCAAACGUCGCUCAGGCUGCCCUUGGAUUUCCCUGUCAUUUGUGCUGUGAAUUGAAAUUCUGCUGCAGGAUGUCUUCACGGAGUGAGGCAAGUGUGUCUGUUUUAUGGGGAGGCAGUGAUGGAAUGACAAACACGGGAUGUGGCUCACAUUGUUAAACACCCGAGGUACUGAAAGAAGCCAGCGUGGUCAUCCUUGUCUGUGACACACGUCUGUGUGCGUGGCCUCACCCAGCACAGAC
RNAcentral lists this long non-coding RNA (372 nucleotides) under Fukomys damarensis (Damara mole-rat). RNAcentral's name for it is "lncRNA (ENSFDAG00000028084.1)". The record is from RNAcentral. Lineage: Eukaryota; Metazoa; Chordata; Mammalia; Rodentia; Bathyergidae.